AUUGAACGCUGGCGGCAUGCCUAACACAUGCAAGUCGAACGAAGCCUUCGGGCUUAGUGGCGCACGGGUGCGUAACGCGUGGGAAUCUGCCUUGGGGUUCGGAAUAACUCCCCGAAAGGGGUGCUAAUACCGGAUGAUGUCGAAAGACCAAAGAUUUAUCGCCCUGAGAUGAGCCCGCGUAAGAUUAGCUAGUUGGUGGG
Molecule: ribosomal RNA, 200 nt
Filed under: uncultured bacterium
Lineage: Bacteria
Description: partial 16S ribosomal RNA
Rfam family: Bacterial small subunit ribosomal RNA
Source: RNAcentral